AACGAACGCUGGCGGCAUGCCUAACACAUGCAAGUCGAACGAGACCUUCGGGUCUAGUGGCGCACGGGUGCGUAACGCGUGGGAACCUGCCCUUAGGUUCGGAAUAACUCCCCGAAAGGGGUGCUAAUACCGGAUAAUGUCUUCGGACCAAAGAUUUAUCGCCUUUGGAUGGGCCCGCGUUGGAUUAGCUAGUUGGUAGGGUAAAAGCCUACCAAGGCGACGAUCCAUAGCUGGUCUGAGAGGAUGAUCAGCCACACUGGGACUGAGACACGGCCCAGACUCCUACGGGAGGCAGCAGUGGGGAAUAUUGGACGAUGGGCGAAAGCCUGAUCCAGCAAUGCCGCGUGAGUGAUGAAGGCCUUAGGGUUGUAAAGCUCUUUUACCCGGGAUGAUAAUGACAGUACCGGGAGAAUAAGCUCCGGCUAACUCCGUC
Molecule: ribosomal RNA, 433 nt
Filed under: uncultured bacterium
Lineage: Bacteria
Description: partial 16S ribosomal RNA
Rfam family: Bacterial small subunit ribosomal RNA
Source: RNAcentral